Molecule: ribosomal RNA, 875 nt
Filed under: uncultured marine group I thaumarchaeote
Lineage: Archaea; Thermoproteati; Nitrososphaerota
Description: bacterial SSU rRNA
Rfam family: Archaeal small subunit ribosomal RNA
Source: RNAcentral
CCUGACUGCUAUCGGAUUGAUACUAAGCCAUGCGAGUCAUUGUAGUAAUACAAGGCAGACGGCUCAGUAACGCGUAGUCAACCUAACCUAUGGACGGGAAUAACCUCGGGAAACUGAGUAUAAUGCCCGAUAGAACAUUAUGCCUGGAAUGGUUUAUGUUCCAAAUGAUUUAUCGCCGUAGGAUGGGACCGCGGCCUAUCAGUUUGUUGGUGAGGUAAUGGCCCACCAAGACUAUUACAGGUACGGGCUCUGAGAGGAGUGGCCCGGAGAUGGGUACUGAGACACGGACCCAGGCCCUAUGGGGCGCAGCAGGCGAGAAAACUUUGCAAUGUGCGAAAGCACGACAAGGUUAAUCCGAGUGGUUUCUGCUAAAGGAACCUUUUGUCGGUCCUAGAAACACCGAUGAAUAAGGGGUGGGCAAGUUCUGGUGUCAGCCGCCGCGGUAAAACCAGCACCUCAAGUGGUCAGGAUGAUUAUUGGGCCUAAAGCAUCCGUAGCCGGCUUUGUUAGUUUUCGGUUAAAUCUGUACGCUUAACGUACAGGCUGCCGGGAAUACUGCAGAGCUAGGGAGUGGGAGAGGUAGACGGUACUCGGUAGGAAGGGGUAAAAUCCUUUGAUCUAUUGAUGACCACCUGUGGCGAAGGCGGUCUACCAGAACACGUCCGACGGUGAGGGAUGAAAGCUGGGGGAGCAAACCGGAUUAGAUACCCGGGUAGUCCCAGCUGUAAACUAUGCAAACUCAGUGAUGCAUUGGCUUGUGGCCAAUGCAGUGCUGCAGGGAAGCCGUUAAGUUUGCCGCCUGGGAAGUACGUACGCAAGUAUGAAACUUAAAGGAAUUGGCGGGGGAGCACCACAAGGGGUGAAGCCUGCGGUUC